This 544-nucleotide long non-coding RNA is filed under the name Phaseolus vulgaris (common bean). RNAcentral's name for it is "long non-coding RNA (PVUL_LNC001769)". Lineage: Eukaryota; Viridiplantae; Streptophyta; Magnoliopsida; Fabales; Fabaceae. The record is from RNAcentral.
GUGGGUUUAUGACUCACCUUUACCGUUAUCUUGGCAUAAAUGGGAGGUUAAUUGCCACAAUCAAUUGCAAUCAAUAGGAGGUUAAUUGCCGCAAUCAAUUGCAAUCAAUGGGAGGUUAAUUGCCGCAAUCAAUUGUAAUCAAUGGGAGGUUAAUUACCAUUAAUUGUAUUUAUUAUUGUUGUCUCCUAGAACCACUAUAUAUAGUGGCUUCCUUCAAGCAAUGUAACACACUACAGACAAGCAACACACACUUGCUUCCUCUCUCUUUUCAUAUACUCUCUAUUUCUGUUCUUGGGUGUAAGUGUUUAACCCAUAUAGAGAGGAUUUGUUUUAGGGCUAUUUAUCUAUUAGUCUGAGAGGAAUUCAUUGUACUCCCAAUAUCAUUAUAGUGAAAGUUUUGGCUCUCUCGCCGGUGGUUUUUUACCUCUAUUUAAAGGGGUUUUCCACCUAAAAAUUCUGGUAUCAUUCUCACUUUACUUGUUACUUUAAUUUCUCAUAAUCUUUGGUUGAAAUUAUCACGCUUCCGCACACGAUAUCCCUACAU